RNAcentral lists this transfer RNA (74 nucleotides) under Trichomalopsis sarcophagae. RNAcentral describes it as "tRNA-OTHER". It matches the Rfam family "tRNA". Rfam says of the family: Transfer RNA (tRNA) molecules are approximately 80 nucleotides in length. Their secondary structure includes four short double-helical elements and three loops (D, anti-codon, and T loops). Lineage: Eukaryota; Metazoa; Arthropoda; Insecta; Hymenoptera; Pteromalidae. The record is from RNAcentral.
GUAGACGUUAGCUCAGGGGUUAGAGCCCAGGCCGCUGGCUCUCGUGUCCGCGAGUUCGAGUCCCGUCGUCUACU